RNAcentral lists this ribosomal RNA (380 nucleotides) under uncultured eukaryote. Its description in RNAcentral is "SSU rRNA". It matches the Rfam family "Eukaryotic small subunit ribosomal RNA", at positions 587 to 972 of the family's 1831-position model. The record is from RNAcentral.
AGCUCCAAUAGCGUAUAUUAAAGUUGUUGCAGUUAAAAAGCUCGUAGUUGAACUUCAGACCUGGCCGGGCGGUCCUCCUCACGGUGCGUACUGUCUGGCUGGGCCUUACCUCUUGGUGAGCCGGCAUGCCCUUUACUGGGUGUGUCGGGGAACCAGGACUUUUACCUUGAGAAAAUUAGAGUGUUCAAAGCAGGCCUAUGCCUGAAUACGUUAGCAUGGAAUAAUGAAAUAGGACGUGCGGUUCUAUUUUGUUGGUUUCUAGAGUCGCCGUAAUGAUUAAUAGGGAUAGUUGGGGGCAUUCGUAUUCCGUUGCUAGAGGUGAAAUUCUUGGAUUUACGGAAGACGAACUUCUGCGAAAGCAUUUGCCAAGGAUGUUUUCA